This 458-nucleotide ribosomal RNA is filed under the name uncultured bacterium. Its description in RNAcentral is "bacterial SSU rRNA". It matches the Rfam family "Bacterial small subunit ribosomal RNA", at positions 29 to 465 of the family's 1533-position model. The record is from RNAcentral.
AACGAACGCUGGCGGCGUGCCUAACACAUGCAAGUCGCACGAGAAAGCGGGCUUCGGCCCGCCGGUAAAGUGGCAGACGGGUGAGUAACACGUGGGUAACCUCCCCAGAGGUGGGGGAUAACCCUCCGAAAGGAGGGCUAAUACCGCAUGAUAUCUCGAGAGCUUCGGCUUUUGCGAUCAAAGCUAGCCUCUACUUGUAAGCUAGCGCCACUGGAGGGACCCGCGCCCCAUUAGCUAGNGGUGAGGUAACGGCUCACCAAGGCUCCGAUGGGUAGCCGGCCUGAGAGGGGUGUCCGGCCACACUGGGAACUGAGACACGGUCCAGACUCCUACGGGAGCAGCAGUGAGGAAUCUUGCGCAAUGGGCGAAAGCCUGACGCAGCGACGCCGCGUGGAGGACGAAGGUCUUCGGAUCGUAAACUCCUGUCAAGUGGGACGAAAUCUGCAGGGAUGAAUAAG